AGUUAACGUUGGCGGCGUGCCUAACACAUGCAAGUCGAACGCGUCCUAAGGGCAACUUUAGGAUGAGUGGCGAACGGGUGAGUAUCACGUGGGUAAUCUUCCUUUAAGUGGGGGAAUAAGCUCUCGAAAGGGAGUCUAAUACCGCAUGACAUUCCGGGACACAAGUCCCGUAAUCAAAGCCGCAAGGCGCUUGAAGAUGAGCCUGCGUCCUAUUAGCUAGUUGGUGGGGUAACGGCCUACCAAGGCUCAGAUGGGUAGCCGGCCUGAGAGGGUGAACGGCCACACUGGGACUGAGACACGGCCCAGACUCCUACGGGAGGCAGCAGUGAGGAAUUUUGCGCAAUGGGGGAAACCCUGACGCAGCGACGCCGCGUGGAGGAUGAAGGCCUUCGGGUCGUAAACUCCUGUCAGAGGUGAAGAAUGCCGCAAGGGUUUGACGGUAACCUCAGAGGAAGCCCCGGCUAACUACGUG
RNAcentral lists this ribosomal RNA (472 nucleotides) under uncultured bacterium. RNAcentral's name for it is "bacterial SSU rRNA". It matches the Rfam family "Bacterial small subunit ribosomal RNA", at positions 29 to 507 of the family's 1533-position model. The record is from RNAcentral.